RNAcentral lists this ribosomal RNA (537 nucleotides) under uncultured bacterium. RNAcentral's name for it is "bacterial SSU rRNA". It matches the Rfam family "Bacterial small subunit ribosomal RNA", at positions 777 to 1314 of the family's 1533-position model. The record is from RNAcentral.
AAUAGAUACCCGGGUAGUCCACGCCGUAAACGAUGAGUGCUAAGUGUUAGAGGGUUUCCGCCCUUUAGUGCUGAAGUUAACGCAUUAAGCACUCCGCCUGGGGAGUACGGUCGCAAGACUGAAACUCAAAGGAAUUGACGGGGGCCCGCACAAGCGGUGGAGCAUGUGGUUUAAUUCGAAGCAACGCGAAGAACCUUACCAGGUCUUGACAUCCUCUGACAACCCUAGAGAUAGGGCUUUCCCUUCGGGGACAGAGUGACAGGUGGUGCAUGGUUGUCGUCAGCUCGUGUCGUGAGAUGUUGGGUUAAGUCCCGCAACGAGCGCAACCCUUGAUCUUAGUUGCCAGCAUUCAGUUGGGCACUCUAAGGUGACUGCCGGUGACAAACCGGAGGAAGGUGGGGAUGACGUCAAAUCAUCAUGCCCCUUAUGACCUGGGCUACACACGUGCUACAAUGGACGGUACAAAGAGUCGCAAGACCGCGAGGUGGAGCUAAUCUCAUAAAACCGUUCUCAGUUCGGAUUGUAGGCUGCAACUCG